AAGACUAUAGACCUGCGGAGUACCUGCGGAAGGAUCAUUACCGAGUUAUCCAACUCCCAACCCCUGUGAAUCAUACCUUUAAUUGUUGCUUCGGCGGGACUUCGCGCCCGCCGGGGACCCAAACCUUCUGAAUUUUUUAAUAAGUAUCUUCUGAGUGGUUAAAAAAAAUGAAUCAAAACUUUUAGCAAUGGAUCUCU
This 197-nucleotide unclassified non-coding RNA is filed under the name soil metagenome. RNAcentral's name for it is "partial contains 5.8S ribosomal RNA, internal transcribed spacer 2, and large subunit ribosomal RNA". The record is from RNAcentral.